This 295-nucleotide unclassified non-coding RNA is filed under the name Hevea brasiliensis (rubber tree). The record is from RNAcentral. Lineage: Eukaryota; Viridiplantae; Streptophyta; Magnoliopsida; Malpighiales; Euphorbiaceae.
GCUGAAUCCUCUUUCGCCACAAAAUAUACGCUUCUCCACUACAUACACAACAUGCACAGACACUCACAAACGUACACUCGGGGUGGUGACCGUUGUCUUUCUCUAUUGUCUAUUUCUUGAAGCAUGCCGAUUCUUUUACACUUUGAUUUUGCCCAUAAAUCCAAACAAGGGAUAAAAUCUUGAAGCUAAAAUGUUGUUAUUUUUGCUUUCUCCAGGUGAGGAAAGAGAAAUUAGGUGACAGAAUCACUGCCCUUCACCAGCUAGUGUCUCCAUUUGGGAAGACUGACACAGCCUC